This 429-nucleotide ribosomal RNA is filed under the name uncultured prokaryote. Its description in RNAcentral is "bacterial SSU rRNA". It matches the Rfam family "Bacterial small subunit ribosomal RNA", at positions 355 to 796 of the family's 1533-position model. The record is from RNAcentral.
UGGGGAAUCUUGCGCAAUGGGCGAAAGCCUGACGCAGCGACGCCGCGUGCGGGAAGAAGGCCUUCGGGUUGUAAACCGCUUUCAGGAGGGAAGAAGCGCAAGUGACGGUACCUCCAGAAGAAGCCCCGGCCAACUACGUGCCAGCAGCCGCGGUAAUACGUAGGGGGCGAGCGUUGUCCGGAAUUAUUGGGCGUAAAGAGCUCGUAGGCGGUCUGUUAAGUCGGGUGUGAAAUCUCAGGGCCCAACCCUGAAACUGCUCCCGAUACUGACAGACUUGAGACAGGUAGGGGAAGGUGGAAUUCCUGGUGUAGCGGUGGAAUGCGCAGAUAUCAGGAGGAACACCGAUGGCGAAGGCAGCCUUCUGGGCCUGAACUGACGCUGAGGAGCGAAAGCGUGGGGAGCGAACAGGAUUAGAUACCCCCGUAGUCC